Molecule: ribosomal RNA, 495 nt
Filed under: uncultured bacterium
Lineage: Bacteria
Description: bacterial SSU rRNA
Rfam family: Bacterial small subunit ribosomal RNA
Source: RNAcentral
CCUGGCUCAGAUUGAACGCUGGCGGCAGGCCUAACACAUGCAAGUCGAGCGCGAAAAUUCCUUCGGGGGAUGAGUAGAGCGGCGGACGGGUGAGUAAUGCGCAGAAAUCUGCCCAGGUAGUGGGGGACAACCUGGUGAAAACCAGGCUAAUACCGCAUACGCCCUACGGGGGAAAGCAGGGGAUCUUCGGACCUUGCGCUAUUGGAUGAGUCUGCGUCGGAUUAGCUUGUUGGUGAGGUAAUGGCUCACCAAGGCGACGAUCCGUAGCUGGUCUGAGAGGAUGAUCAGCCACACUGGGACUGAGACACGGCCCAGACUCCUACGGGAGGCAGCAGUGGGGAAUAUUGGACAAUGGGGGCAACCCUGAUCCAGCCAUGCCGCGUGUGUGAAGAAGGCCUUCGGGUUGUAAAGCACUUUAAGCGAGGAGGAAGGUUUUUAGUUUAAUACACUAAAGAAUUGACGUUACUCGCAGAAUAAGCACCGGCUAACUCUGUG